GGAAAGGCUUUCUCCCCAUCUCUUGGCACCAUCAGUUCUUCCCCACCUUCCUUCUUGUUGAAAGCAGUGAACAACUGAAUGGAAGAUCCCCCAGUUAUCUCACAUUCAAAUUGCCAUAUUAUCUCCUAUAAGUUCAUCUCUCCCAUGUGUACAGGACUAUUCAAACCCUAAUCUCUCCCCAUUAGCUAUGUGGGUGGGGUGGAGGAAUAACAUGGCUAGAUUAUUUAUUACCCUGUUCAAUUUUUUUAAUACUAACCUAUUUUUAAGUACAAUAAAAAUAUCCACUUAUGUAAUAAAGAUUUAGCAAUUAUCUCAAAUUAAGGAGAUUAUUGACAAAAGAUGUCUUUUACAGUAAAUACCCUCUGUCAAUUGGAAUUUCAAAGCUUUGUAUGUGGAAAUGCCUUUUAUAAACUAUACAGUUAUUUUAAAAACCGCCAAUAAUGACUAAUGCAUGAUGUGAAUGUUUAGAGGAGAGAGGGAAAGCUGAGGUUGAUAACCCCAAAUGUUUCUAACCAGCUCUGUGACUAUUGUUUCAUAGCCUUGGUGUUGGGCUUUUACAUAUGUGGAAUGUUCCAGAAUACAGAAGCAUUCAAAAUGGGGAAAAAAACAACUGAGGAGAAUUUUUUAAAAGGGAGGAGGGAAACCCUCUCUAUGCCUCUCCUAAACCAUUGUAUUUCGCCAUUAUGUCAGUUAACAACUACACUAGAAACAAGCAGCAGAUUUUUUUCCACUCUAAACCCAGGACAGCAACUGCAAUGAGAAAAGUCAUUUUCGUGAAAUGUGGAACCAGAGGACAGGGUCAAGAGAUUUUGCUUGCCUAGAAGAACAUCCAAGGAUGUCCAAAGAUAGGACCAUCCCUCCCCACUUUUCUCCUUUAGACCAGAGUGCAGCACAGUAGGAGCACAGAUGCACUACUGGUGCCUACAAAUCGAUAGCUCCAGAUUAUCAAACAACAAACAAGCAGAGUCACAGCAGAAGGUGGCUACAACCUACACAGGCACUGCCAUUUUUGCAAUGGAAAUUAACAAAGACUAAAGCAAGAUGUGGAAAGAGAUACAAGCCAAAGUGGAAACAAGCAUGAAUGCUGACUGCCAUCUGGCACAGAUGUCAUUUACUGCUGUUCAUGAUUCAAGCAUUGAGCGAUCCUCUCUAAGGACCUUGGCUUCACAUUUAUUCCGACCACAAAGCGUAUCUCUGAUAUAGUGUGGGGCUUCCCCCUGCCAAAAAAAGGUAUAUCCCCAAAUAUAUGACUCCAUUCUCCUUUCUCUAUAUAUUCUCCUGCUCCUCCUCCCUUCAUAUAGCUUUUAUGAAGACCCAUUUUAUAGCAGUGAAUUCUAGCAUGCAAUAAAGUCAUAAAGGCUGAUAUUUCAGCAGUGUAAUACCUGCAAUUAUAUCAGUUCCUGUAUUUUUCAGUGGAGUAAGAAACGCUGUUUUAGCAAACACAUGCACAAAAACACAGAUUUGAAGUAGUUGCAGGACAUUUCCACAAGCGACACAUAGGGCAUUUGAUGGGGGAUCUUUCUGAUUUCACACGACUAUGACACACCAACAGAAUGUUCUAACAGGGGUCUAUUCGUCCAGUUCAAUGCUAGAAAUGGAGGAUAGUUUUCGGGGUUAUUUGUAUUGAUCCCACUCAAGUCUCAUCCUUUCCUUGUGCCAAUUUUAUACAUCCUAACAGCUGGUUUGCAAGGAAGUUUGUGAACCUGCCUCUGCAUGUACAAAAGUCUCCAACUGACUAUUACAGCUACCAAUAGGCGCUACAGCUAGCCAGAAGGCCCCAUACUAAGCCUCUCAAUAGCACUGCCCUUGCCAACACCCAUCAUCUAAGGAGGGUGGCACAAUCUCAACCUCUUAAGUAUGGGGCUUCAAGCAGCAGAGAAGAGAAACAAGAGCACUGUAGCAAAGACACAGAAUACUUCAGCUGGCUGUAAUAAGUAGUAACAGCUGGCUGAAGGCUACCCUACACCAAGGAACUGGUUCAAAUGAGUUUCCAGUGCAAACUGGUCCUAAGCUACAAUUUUAAUAUCUGUCACCACUCCUUCUAAUAGCAAAUGCAGGUACUGAGUGCCAACA
Molecule: long non-coding RNA, 2073 nt
Organism: Podarcis raffonei (Aeolian wall lizard)
Lineage: Eukaryota; Metazoa; Chordata; Lepidosauria; Squamata; Lacertidae
Exons: 5
Source: RefSeq, a predicted model, not a curated record